UGUUGCAGUGCUACAAAACUUAUAGCCUGGGCUGUAAUCUCAUCAGAUCUUACAAGUUGAACAGAACCAAGCUUGGUCAGUACUUGAAUGGAGACCUCCAAGGAAAAAACAAAAUACUGCACAAA
Ribosomal RNA from Chelonoidis abingdonii (Abingdon island giant tortoise), 125 nucleotides. The record is from Ensembl. Lineage: Eukaryota; Metazoa; Chordata; Testudines; Testudinidae.